AGUGGGAUGGCUGGGUCAAAUGGAGGUUCCUUUCCAAGUUUUCAAAGGAUUCUCCAUACUGCUUUCCAUAUUGGAUUCACCAAUUUGCAGUCCCACUGGCAAU
Molecule: microRNA precursor, 103 nt
Filed under: Marmota monax (woodchuck)
Lineage: Eukaryota; Metazoa; Chordata; Mammalia; Rodentia; Sciuridae
Source: RNAcentral